Molecule: long non-coding RNA, 1234 nt
Filed under: Elaeis guineensis (African oil palm)
Lineage: Eukaryota; Viridiplantae; Streptophyta; Magnoliopsida; Arecales; Arecaceae
Description: long non-coding RNA (EGUI_LNC019935)
Source: RNAcentral
UUUAAGCUCUUCAGAUUAACUGACCUGAUUUGAAACAAUAAAAAAUCAAACUAAAAUAGGUGAGGUACCUAGUCCACUCUCUAUUCUCUAUUCUUUUAAUAAACUUGGAGAAGAUUAUUCUUCCCCCUUUUACAUUUCAAAACAAAAAAAAGGAACACCCUAGCCAGCUGAUAACUGAGGGAGUUUUCUAUCAUACAGCGUUGGGAUUACAAUUUGGUUAAUCUCCCUCCGAACGUCUUCAACAACUAUUUUCAGAAAUCACCAAUUGAAUUCCAACCUACUCAGAUCAUUUAGCUGUCUAAUCAUAAAAGGUAGAUGCCAAACAUGGUGGAUACCUUCUGAUUUAAUAUUCUAUACUAGGCCAGAUUUACAUUUUGUUCCAAGGUUUCUUCCUAAAUAUGUUUCAAAUAAACUAAGUUUCAUAUCAGAUGCCAGGUAGGGGCCCCAAUUAUUGAAUAUUCUCUAGGCAGAGUUGGUCUUUGGCCUUGUCAGUGAAAGAAACUUUCAAAACUUUACACAUAUGAAGAGGUAUGAGACAUAGAUGUUAGGUAAAUAAUGUAGUUUGUCCAUAAUCUUCUUGAUCAUGGACAUGGUCAAUAAAUGGAUGUCAAGAGGAAGAAAAAGUAUUACAUUAGUGUAGAGUAUGGAUAAACAAAGAAGGGCCAAAAAGGCAAGGUCAGGAAAUCUAUACAAUAACAUUAAAGGGAGUCUAGUGGACUAAGCUCCAAUCAUUUCAUUGAGAAAACAAAGUACGUACUUGGAUUUAUUGUUGUUUGAUGAUGAUAAAAAGUUUUGUUUAACUAAUUGAGUGAGAUUGUCUAUCUCUUUUUGAUAUGUAUUUGUCUUCUGUCUUGGGAAACAUGGAGACCUUGAGAGGUUUGCAGUGUGAGACUUUAACACAUUGUAGCUAAAGAUGCUAGCAGUUUCUAAGGUGUGGACAUGCAAUAAUUGGGAAUAUAUCCUUUUUUUUUUUUUUGCCAUACCUGCAUACUCCCUAAAUGACUAAGUUAUCAUUUUAAAAUUCUAUUUUGGUGAAGCUAAGAAAGCAAUCUGAUAACUUGGAUUUUUCUUUCUUUCUUUUUUUUUUUUCUAUUUCUAUUUACAUGAAACCUGAUGGAGUAUUAACGUGAUAACCUGUUGCCACACAUUAGCUGCAUCUAUUUUCUAAUAAUUUUUUUCAUUAUUUUUUUGUUUUUUGACAAAGACUUCACAUGCCAGUUCAUGCAUAGACUCA